This 494-nucleotide ribosomal RNA is filed under the name uncultured bacterium. Its description in RNAcentral is "partial 16S ribosomal RNA". It matches the Rfam family "Bacterial small subunit ribosomal RNA", at positions 28 to 507 of the family's 1533-position model. The record is from RNAcentral.
GACGAACGCUGGCGGCGUGCUUAACACAUGCAAGUCGAACGGUGAAGCGCCUUCCUUUUUGGUGGGUGUGGAUGAGUGGCGAACGGGUGAGUAACACGUUAGUAACCUGCCCCCUUCUUCUGGAUAACCGCAUGAAAGUGUGGCUAAUACGGGAUAUUCUGGGUCUGUCGCAUGAUGGGUCUGGGAAAGAUAUUGUUUCGGUGGGGGAUGGGCUCGCGGCCUAUCAGCUUGUUGGUGGGGUGAUGGCCUACCAAGGCGGUGACGGGUAGCCGGCCUGAGAGGGUGGGCGGUCACACUGGGACGGAGACACGGCGCAGACUCCGACGGGAGGCAGCAGUGGGGAAUAUUGCACGGUGGGCGCAAGCCUGAUGCAGCGACGCCGCGGGAGGGAUGGAGGCCGUCGGGUUGUGAACCUCUUUCGCCAGUGAAGCAGGCCUGCCUCGUUUGUGGGUGGGUUGACGGUAGCUGGAUAAGAAGCGCCGGCUAACUACGUG